GUUUAAAGUGAGUCGUCAUCAGGUCGUCAUCCAAUCAGAUGCAUGCAUCUAGUAACUUGCCGAGCACGCGCACAAAAAAAGUGGGUACACUAGUUACGUCUCUGUAUGUCUCUACUCUGUUACAGAGUAGAGACAUACAGAGACGUAACUAGUGUACCCACUUUUUUUGUGCGCAUGCUCGGCAAGUUACUAGAUGCAUGCAUCUGAUUGGAUGACUACCUGAUGACGACUCACUUUAAACUUGCUGAGCACGCGCAGUUGAUCAUUUUUCGCCCGGUCGCCUAAAAAAAAAGUGGGUACAUGAUAACGUAAUCUUCCGCAGUGUUUACAACGGUCAGUUACGUCUCUGUAUGUCUUAUCUACUCUGUG
This is a non-coding RNA of Paramuricea clavata, 369 nucleotides long. The record is from the annotation of a GenBank genome assembly. NCBI's taxonomy places the organism in Eukaryota, Metazoa, Cnidaria, Anthozoa, Malacalcyonacea, Plexauridae.